RNAcentral lists this ribosomal RNA (301 nucleotides) under uncultured bacterium. RNAcentral's name for it is "partial 16S ribosomal RNA". It matches the Rfam family "Bacterial small subunit ribosomal RNA", at positions 509 to 809 of the family's 1533-position model. The record is from RNAcentral.
CAGUAGCCACGGUAACACGAAGGGGGCUAGCGUUGCUCGGAAUGACUGGGCGUAAAGGGCGCGUAGGCGGCGGCCAAAGUCAGGCGUGAAAUUCCCGGGCUCAACCUGGGGGCUGCGUUUGAUACUUGGUUGCUUGAGUGGGGAAGAGGGUCGUGGAAUUCCCAGUGUAGAGGUGAAAUUCGUAGAUAUUGGGAAGAACACCGGUGGCGAAGGCGGCAACCUGGUCCUUGACUGACGCUGAGGCGCGAAAGCGUGGGGAGCAAACAGGAUUAGAUACCCGCGUAGUCCCUGUCUCUUAUAU